GAAGGAUCAGAUUAUUAGGCUUGAUUUCUCUAAAGAGAAAAAAGUUCGCACAGUAUGUUCAGAUUCGAUCAUCUGGGGAAAUAAUCAUCACACCCAUAUCAAAUUAAAACCUAAUAAAGAGACAAAAACAACAAUACAUACACAGAUGAAUAUUCCCAAAAAAACACAGAAUAAUCAGCAUCUCAGGAUUACAUACAAAGAAUUAUUAACUAUACAAGUUGAGAAUGCAAUUAUGGAUCAGAUUAUUUGGCUUGAUUUCUCCAAAGAGAAACAAAAUCGCACAGUAUGUUCAGUUUCGAUCAUCUGGGGAAAUAAUCAUCACACCCAUCUUAUAAUUAUAAACUAAUUGUAAAAUUGUAAGCUUCCAAGUCUCUAACAUCAACAAUAAACACAAAUUUCAAUACACAUGCAAGUAUAUAUUACAAAUCAAUAAAUCAAUAAUUUUGAGUAACAAAUUUCAUAGUGCAAAAAUGGAUCAGAUUAUUUGGCUUGAUUUCUCCGAAGAGAAACAAAAUUCGCACAGUAUGUUCAGUUUCGAUCAUCUGGGGAAAUAAUCAUCACAUCCA
Molecule: long non-coding RNA, 566 nt
Filed under: Medicago truncatula (barrel medic)
Lineage: Eukaryota; Viridiplantae; Streptophyta; Magnoliopsida; Fabales; Fabaceae
Description: lncRNA gene16372
Source: RNAcentral